Molecule: long non-coding RNA, 864 nt
Organism: Ornithodoros turicata
Lineage: Eukaryota; Metazoa; Arthropoda; Arachnida; Ixodida; Argasidae
Exons: 3
Source: RefSeq, a predicted model, not a curated record
AACACCCGUCUGGCUUUUUCCAAACGCUCUUUGGGAACACCAACCACACACACACACAAAAGAAACCGUUAUCGCCCUCGCAAGAUGAAUUUUCGACUGGUGGUAUACGCUGUCUGCCACGUACGAGCUUCCAGCAGUGAGUGUGCCACGUAAGAGCCAAGUGAUAUUUACUCCGUAUCUCGUCGGAUGACCAUUGCUGAGCCAAAGGCGUACGGCAGCUACUGCAGCUGGACAUCGGUGGACGUAGAUGUUAUGGUCAAUCUGAGUCACGGUAGUGCAUUUUCCCUGUUUCAGUGUUGGUUUUGUAAAUUCUGUUGUAGCUACGAAAACGAACAGGGAAACAGCACUCAGAAAGGACAAGGUGUAGCAGAACAUCUCCGGACAUCUAUUUACCAUGACGACCUACAGUAAAAUGAGACAACUCGUCAUGGAUUUCAAUAUUUAUUGGUAUGAGGACGGCGACAUUUUCCUUGGAGUUGAUGAUCCUGGGUAACGUCCCGCAUGCCGCACACAUCGUCACCCGAUUGGGACCAGGAAUCGCCAGCGUUGGCUGGCUGUUCGACAUCGGACCAGUGAUCGCCAGUCAUUUCGUCGUCGGUGGUGGCAGGUAGUUCUCCGGAACCCAAGUCCUUCUACGACUUCCAGAACGUUGCAACAGGUACUGCACCUUUCCAUUCCGAACGCGUCUUUUUAUAAUGCGGUGGCCCUUUCCAGGCUGCACACGUGUUAAUUCGCUUGCAUAAAAUUGACCUUCAAUAGGUUCUUCCUGCUGGUCACGUAAGAGAUAGGUAUUCGGGUAACCAAUCUUGACUGCUCUCACCACAAAAAUUUCACGCGUAAACGAACCAAGAUAACUUUUGACUA